Molecule: unclassified non-coding RNA, 234 nt
Filed under: plant metagenome
Description: partial contains small subunit ribosomal RNA and internal transcribed spacer 1
Source: RNAcentral
AAGUCGUAACAAGGUUUCCGUCAGGCUGAACCUGCGGAAGGGAUCAUUUAAAGAGUUAGGGGUCUCACAGGCCCGACCUCCAACCCUUUGUUGUUAUAACUAAAUCUGGUUGCUUUGGCGGGACCGCUCGGUCUCGAGCUGCUGGUCUUCGGCCCGGCAAGCUGCCCGCCAGAGUCUACUGCAAACUCUUGUUUUAACCGGUCGUCUGAGUUAAAUUUUUCGAAUAAAUCAAAA